GAUGAGAUGAGAUGAGAUGAGAUGAGAUGAGAUGAGAUGAGAUGAGAUGAGAUGA
This 55-nucleotide unclassified non-coding RNA is filed under the name synthetic construct. The record is from RNAcentral.